Molecule: unclassified non-coding RNA, 215 nt
Filed under: Glomus sp.
Lineage: Eukaryota; Fungi; Glomeromycota; Glomeromycetes; Glomerales; Glomeraceae
Description: partial contains 5.8S ribosomal RNA and internal transcribed spacer 2
Rfam family: 5.8S ribosomal RNA (bases 1-65)
Source: RNAcentral
GUGAAUCAUCGAAUUUUUGAACGCAAAUUGCACUCUCUUCGGAGAGUAUGCCUGUUUGAGGGUCAGCCUAAAAAAAAAAUCGACAUAGUCGUUGUUUCGCGUUGACAUUCUUCGGAAUUUGGUUAAUUUUAAACCUUUGGGUUUUAAGCGGCUUAAAAUUUUUUUUACGUUUCCACGAACUUUUCUAAGUUUUACUUCUUUUAGGUUUAAGGUAU